RNAcentral lists this ribosomal RNA (253 nucleotides) under uncultured bacterium. Its description in RNAcentral is "partial 16S ribosomal RNA". It matches the Rfam family "Bacterial small subunit ribosomal RNA", at positions 524 to 776 of the family's 1533-position model. The record is from RNAcentral.
UACGUAGGGUGCGAGCGUUGUCCGGAAUUACUGGGCGUAAAGAGCUCGUAGGUGGUUUGUCGCGUUGUUCGUGAAAACUCACAACUCAAUUGUGGGCGUGCGGGCGAUACGGGCAGACUGGAGUACUGCAGGGGAGACUGGAAUUCCUGGUGUAGCGGUGGAAUGCGCAGAUAUCAGGAGGAACACCGGUGGCGAAGGCGGGUCUCUGGGCAGCAACUGACGCUGAGGAGCGAAAGCGUGGGGAGCGAACAGG